This 748-nucleotide ribosomal RNA is filed under the name uncultured bacterium. RNAcentral describes it as "bacterial SSU rRNA". It matches the Rfam family "Bacterial small subunit ribosomal RNA", at positions 8 to 760 of the family's 1533-position model. The record is from RNAcentral.
AGAGUUUGAUCAUGGCUCAGGACGAACGCUGGCGGCGUGCUUAACACAUGCAAGUCGAGCGGAAAGGCCCCUUCGGGGGUACUCGAGCGGCGAACGGGUGAGUAACACGUGAGUAACCUGCCCUCGACUCUGGGAUAAGCCUGGGAAACUGGGUCUAAUACCGGAUAUUCACCUCCUGUCGCAUGGUGGGGGGUGGAAAGUUCCUCCGUUUUGGGGGUUCGGUCGGGGAUGGGCUCGCGGCCUAUCAGCUUGUUGGUGGGGUGACGGCCUACCAAGGCGACGACGGGUAGCCGGCCUGAGAGGGCGACCGGCCACACUGGGACUGAGACACGGCCCAGACUCCUACGGGAGGCAGCAGUGGGGAAUCUUGCGCAAUGGGCGAAAGCCUGACGCAGCGACGCCGCGUGGGGGAUGAAGGCCUUCGGGUUGUAAACCCCUUUCAGCACCGACGAAGUUUGGACGGUAGGUGCAGAAGAAGCGCCGGCUAACUACGUGCCAGCAGCCGCGGUAAUACGUAGGGCGCGAGCGUUGUCCGGAAUUAUUGGGCGUAAAGAGCUCGUAGGCGGCUUGUCGCGUCUGUCGUGAAAGCCCACGGCUUAACCGUGGGUUUGCGGUGGAUACGGGCAGGCUAGAGGCAGGUAGGGGAGCAUGGAAUUCCCGGUGUAGCGGUGAAAUGCGCAGAUAUCGGGAGGAACACCGGUGGCGAAGGCGGUGCUCUGGGCCUGUUCUGACGCUGAGGAGCGAAAGC